CCUACGGGCGGCAGCAGUGAGGAAUAUUGGUCAAUGGGCGGGAGCCUGAACCAGCCAAGUCGCGUGAGGGAUGACGGCCCUAUGGGUUGUAAACCUCUUUUGCCGGGGAGCAAAGUGCCGCACGUGUGCGGUUUGGAGAGUACCCGGAGAAAAAGCAUCGGCUAACUCCGUGCCAGCAGCCGCGGUAAUACGGAGGAUGCGAGCGUUAUCCGGAUUUAUUGGGUUUAAAGGGAGCGUAGGUGGAUUGUUAAGUCAGUUGUGAAAGUUUGCGGCUCAACCGUAAAAUUGCAGUUGAAACUGGCAGUCUUGAGUACAGUAGAGGUGGGCGGAAUUCGUGGUGUAGCGGUGAAAUGCUUAGAUAUCACGAAGAACUCCGAUUGCGAAGGCAGUUCACUGGACUGCAACUGACACUGAGGCUCGAAAGUGUGGGUAUCAAACAGGAUUAGAUACCCCGGUAGUC
RNAcentral lists this ribosomal RNA (460 nucleotides) under uncultured bacterium. RNAcentral describes it as "partial 16S ribosomal RNA". It matches the Rfam family "Bacterial small subunit ribosomal RNA", at positions 338 to 795 of the family's 1533-position model. The record is from RNAcentral.